AACGAACGCUGGCGGCGUGGUUUAGGCAUGCAAGUCGAACGAGAAAGCUCCCUUCGGGGGGUGAUUAGAGUGGCGAAAGGGUGAGUAAUAUAUGGAUAACUUACCCUCAAGACGGGGAUAACAGCUCGAAAGGGCUGCUAAUACCCGAUGGUUUCGGUUACUUACGGGUUUCCGGAUAAAUGGUGAUUCCGCUCGAGGAGAGGUCCAUGUCCUAUCAGCUUGUUGGUGAGGUAAUGGCUCACCAAGGCUAUUACGGGUAGCCGGACUGAGAGGUUGGCCGGUCACACUGGGACUGAGACACUGCCCAGACUCCUACGGGAGGCUGCAGUCGAGAAUCUUCCGCAAUGGGCGAAAGCCUGACGGAGCGACGCCGCGUGCAGGAAGAAGGCCCUCGGGUUGUAAACUGCUGUCACACGUUAAGAAUUGUUACGGUCUACCGUAACUGACAAAAGCG
This 454-nucleotide ribosomal RNA is filed under the name uncultured bacterium. RNAcentral describes it as "bacterial SSU rRNA". It matches the Rfam family "Bacterial small subunit ribosomal RNA", at positions 29 to 480 of the family's 1533-position model. The record is from RNAcentral.